AGUGAACGCUGGCGGUAGGCCUAACACAUGCAAGUCGAACGGCAGCACAGUAAGAGCUUGCUCUUACGGGUGGCGAGUGGCGGACGGGUGAGGAAUACAUCGGAAUCUACUUUUUCGUGGGGGAUAACGUAGGGAAACUUACGCUAAUACCGCAUACGACCUACGGGUGAAAGCAGGGGAUCUUCGGACCUUGCGCGAUUGAAUGAGCCGAUGUCGGAUUAGCUAGUUGGCGGGGUAAAGGCCCACCAAGGCGACGAUCCGUAGCUGGUCUGAGAGGAUGAUCAGCCACACUGGAACUGAGACACGGUCCAGACUCCUACGGGAGGCAGCAGUGGGGAAUAUUGGACAAUGGGCGCAAGCCUGAUCCAGCCAUACCGCGUGGGUGAAGAAGGCCUUUGGGUUGUAAAGCCCUUUUGUUGGGAAAGAAAAGCAGCAGGUUAAUACCCCGCUGUUCUGACGGUACCCAAAGAAUAAGCACCGGCUAACUUCGUA
RNAcentral lists this ribosomal RNA (492 nucleotides) under uncultured bacterium. Its description in RNAcentral is "partial 16S ribosomal RNA". It matches the Rfam family "Bacterial small subunit ribosomal RNA", at positions 29 to 507 of the family's 1533-position model. The record is from RNAcentral.